AUAGCUGGUCUGAGAGGAUGAUCAGCCACACUGGGACUGAGACACGGCCCAGACUCCUACGGGAGGCAGCAGUGGGGAAUAUUGGACAAUGGGCGCAACCCUGUACUAGCCAUGCCGGGUGAGUGAUGAAGGCCCUAGGGUUGCAAACCUCUUUCAGCGAGGAGGAUAAGGACGUUACUCGCACAAGAGGCCCCGGCUAACUUCGUGCCAGCGGCCGCGGUAAUUCGAAGGGGGCUAGCGUUGUUCGGAAUCACUGGGCGUAAAGCGCACGUAGGCGGACUUUUAAGUCGGGGGUGAAAUCCCGGGGCUCAACCCCGGAACUGCCUUUGAUACUGGAAGUCUUGAGUCCGAGAGAGGUGAGUGGAACUCCGAGUGUAGAGGUGAAAUUCGUAGAUAUUCGGAAGAACACCAGUGGCGAAGGCGGCUCACUGGCUCGGUACUGAUACUGAGGUGCGAAAGCGUGGGGAUAA
This 470-nucleotide ribosomal RNA is filed under the name Stappia sp. RAS7. RNAcentral's name for it is "bacterial SSU rRNA". It matches the Rfam family "Bacterial small subunit ribosomal RNA", at positions 283 to 770 of the family's 1533-position model. Lineage: Bacteria; Pseudomonadati; Pseudomonadota; Alphaproteobacteria; Hyphomicrobiales; Stappiaceae. The record is from RNAcentral.